Molecule: ribosomal RNA, 516 nt
Filed under: uncultured bacterium
Lineage: Bacteria
Description: partial 16S ribosomal RNA
Rfam family: Bacterial small subunit ribosomal RNA
Source: RNAcentral
UGGGGAAUUUUGGACAAUGGGGGAAACCCUGAUCCAGCCAUCCCGCGUGUGCGAUGAAGGCCUUCGGGUUGUAAAGCACUUUUGGCAGGAAAGAAACGUCGCGGGUUAAUACCCCGCGGAACUGACGGUACCUGCAGAAUAAGCACCGGCUAACUACGUGCCAGCAGCCGCGGUAAUACGUAGGGUGCAAGCGUUAAUCGGAAUUACUGGGCGUAAAGCGUGCGCAGGCGGUUCGGAAAGAAAGAUGUGAAAUCCCAGAGCUUAACUUUGGAACUGCAUUUUUAACUACCGGGCUAGAGUGUGUCAGAGGGAGGUGGAAUUCCGCGUGUAGCAGUGAAAUGCGUAGAUAUGCGGAGGAACACCGAUGGCGAAGGCAGCCUCCUGGGAUAACACUGACGCUCAUGCACGAAAGCGUGGGGAGCAAACAGGAUUAGAUACCCUGGGUAGUCCACGCCUAAAUCGAUGUCAACUAGCUGUUGGGGUCUUCGGACUUGGUAGCGCAGCUAACGCGUGAAG